Armigeres subalbatus is the source of this 556-nucleotide long non-coding RNA. RefSeq lists it as uncharacterized. The record is from RefSeq and is a predicted model, not a curated record. NCBI's taxonomy places the organism in Eukaryota, Metazoa, Arthropoda, Insecta, Diptera, Culicidae. The transcript has 4 exons.
GAACAAUGAGUUGCAACUAAAUAAUGUAUUUGAUAGAAUCAAAACGUGACAUCCAAAAAUUGAUCGAGUUAAUUUUCCUGAAAUUAUAAAUUUAUUUGAUAUUUUGCUAACGUUAAACUUUGAACUAAAAGCAUCUAGAUUCCUUAUCAAACCUAUAUUUACGUAACGUAACCUAUGCAGUUGUGCCAUCCAUAGAAUUUACUUAUUAUCGAGGUACAGCGUUGAACUUAAAUCCUAUGAACGAAUUCGGGUCAAGGAUAAGUGAAUCGAAUUGAGCCCACGAAACGAAUUUUUUAACACUGUUCUCCAAUAAAAUCGUUAAAAAAUCGGAUAUCGUUCAAUAUUGUUACUUCCGUGACAAAAUUAAAAAAUUCGUUUCCCGAAUUCCGAAGAGAUUUAAAGUAUGGCACCGCUUGCUCCACCCGAGCGUAGCUGCUCUCUUUGCCAGUCCGAAGAUGAUAGCCGUAUGGUUAGCUGCGACAAAUGCAACGAAUGGUACCAUUUCGAUUGCGUCGGGGUAACGGAGGAUGUCGCCAAUACCUUCUUGGAGCUGUCC